AUACACUUGCUGGAUGUUGUUGUAGACCCCUUAUAAUAUGUAAUUAGUGAAUGUUACUUUUUACAUGUUGCAAAAGGCAUUUUUUUUCUUGUAGUGAGACCUAGAAAAAUCUCCGCACCUUUCUCGUGACUUUCAAAGCAUCCACGUUGACUCCCUCCAGCCACUUCUCCACCACUUUCGGCCUAUCGAUUCCACUUUCAUCUGAACUCCGAACCAUUGCCAAAUGUGGAAGAAAAAUGAGGAACAGUGUCUAAGGUCUUGAACAAAAAGAAAG
RNAcentral lists this long non-coding RNA (274 nucleotides) under Olea europaea (common olive). Its description in RNAcentral is "long non-coding RNA (OEUR_LNC004534)". The record is from RNAcentral. Lineage: Eukaryota; Viridiplantae; Streptophyta; Magnoliopsida; Lamiales; Oleaceae.